This 376-nucleotide ribosomal RNA is filed under the name uncultured bacterium. RNAcentral describes it as "bacterial SSU rRNA". It matches the Rfam family "Bacterial small subunit ribosomal RNA", at positions 521 to 895 of the family's 1533-position model. The record is from RNAcentral.
UAAUACGUAGGAUGCAAGCGUUAUUCGGAUUUACUGGGCGUAAAGCGCACCGAGGUGGCUUCUUAAGUUGGAUGUAAAAUCUCCCGGCUUAACUGGGAGGCGCCAUUCAAAACUGCGAGGCUUGAGGUCAGCAGGGGAAAGUGGAAUUCCCGGUGUAGUGGUGGAAUGCGUAGAGAUCGGGAGGAACACCAGUGGCGAAAGCGGCUUUCUGGGCUGCACCUGACACUCUAGUGCGAAAGCGUGGGGAGCAAACAGGAUUAGAUACCCUGGUAGUCCACGCCCUAAACGAUGGAUACUGGGUGUGGGAGGUAUUGACCCCUUCCGUGCCGAAGCCAACGCGUUAAGUAUCCCGCCUGGGGACUACGGUCGCAAGGUU